This 492-nucleotide ribosomal RNA is filed under the name uncultured bacterium. RNAcentral describes it as "partial 16S ribosomal RNA". It matches the Rfam family "Bacterial small subunit ribosomal RNA", at positions 29 to 507 of the family's 1533-position model. The record is from RNAcentral.
AGUGAACGCUGGCGGUAGGCCUAACACAUGCAAGUCGAACGGCAGCACAGUAAGAGCUUGCUCUUACGGGUGGCGAGUGGCGGACGGGUGAGGAAUACAUCGGAAUCUACUUUUUCGUGGGGGAUAACGUAGGGAAACUUACGCUACUACCGCAUACGAUCUACGGGUGAAAGCAGGGGAUCUUCGGACCUUGCGCGAUUGAAUGAGCCGAUGUCGGAUUAGCUAGUUGGCGGGGUAAAGGCCCACCAAGGCAACGCUCCGUAGCUGGUCUGAGCGGAUGAUCAGCCAAACUGGAACUUAGACACGGUCCAGACUCCUAAGGGAGGCAGCAGUGGGGAAUAUUGGACCAUGGGCGCAAGCCUUAUCCAGCCAUACCGCGUGGGUGAAGAAGGCCUUCGGGUUGUAAAGCCCUUUUGUUGGGAAAGAAAAGCAGCAGGUUAAUACCCCGCUGUUCUGACGGUACCCAAAGAAUAAGCACCGGCUAACUUCGUG